RNAcentral lists this transfer RNA (82 nucleotides) under Herminiimonas fonticola. It matches the Rfam family "tRNA". Rfam says of the family: Transfer RNA (tRNA) molecules are approximately 80 nucleotides in length. Their secondary structure includes four short double-helical elements and three loops (D, anti-codon, and T loops). Further hydrogen bonds mediate the characteristic L-shaped molecular structure. tRNAs have two regions of fundamental functional importance: the anti-codon, which is responsible for specific mRNA codon recognition, and the 3' end, to which the tRNAs corresponding amino acid is attached (by aminoacyl-tRNA synthetases). tRNAs cope with the degeneracy of the genetic code in two manners: having more than one tRNA (with a specific anti-codon) for a particular amino acid; and 'wobble' base-pairing, i.e. permitting non-standard base-pairing at the 3rd anti-codon position. Lineage: Bacteria; Pseudomonadati; Pseudomonadota; Betaproteobacteria; Burkholderiales; Oxalobacteraceae. The record is from Rfam by way of RNAcentral.
GCCGAGAUGGCGGAACAGGUAGACGCACGGGACUCAAAAUCCCGCGCCGCAAGGCGUGCCGGUUCGAUUCCGGCUCUCGGCA